RNAcentral lists this long non-coding RNA (355 nucleotides) under Gossypium barbadense (sea-island cotton). RNAcentral's name for it is "long non-coding RNA (GBAR_LNC017613)". The record is from RNAcentral. Lineage: Eukaryota; Viridiplantae; Streptophyta; Magnoliopsida; Malvales; Malvaceae.
UUUCUUUCUUCCUCUUCUCAACUGAGCUAUUUACUGUCAGCGCCGUCUCUUUCUUCAUUUUAUUAGCUGAAUUAUUAGCUGUCAUGGCCGCCUCUUUGCUAGUCUUCUCAGCUGACCUAUUCAGGCUCUCUUCUACCAUAUCAAGGUCCGGAGUACUUGAGACCUUUUCCAAACUCUUUAGCUUUUCAAAUUCAAACUCUGACUGCAAUGAAUGUUCUACUACAGGAUUAUGAACCUUUCUCAAAUUGCGUUUAACCUUUUCAAGCUCAUUUUGUGGGUUUUCCUGCACGGGCUCAGCUGGGUGGCCGGAAAUUUUCCUCGGGUUACACUUGGGCUUAUCAAAUUCAGAGGUUGC